CCUACGGGAGGCAGCAGUGGGGAAUAUUGCACAAUGGGGGAAACCCUGAUGCAGCGACGCAGCGUGCGGGAUGACGGCCUUCGGGUUGUAAACCGCUUUCAGCAGGGAAGAAGCGAAAGUGACGGUACCUGCAGAAGAAGGACCGGCCAACUACGUGCCAGCAGCCGCGGUAAU
RNAcentral lists this ribosomal RNA (174 nucleotides) under uncultured Brevibacterium sp. RNAcentral's name for it is "partial 16S ribosomal RNA". It matches the Rfam family "Bacterial small subunit ribosomal RNA", at positions 338 to 524 of the family's 1533-position model. The record is from RNAcentral. Lineage: Bacteria; Bacillati; Actinomycetota; Actinomycetes; Micrococcales; Brevibacteriaceae.